GAGUUGUUGCUGAUCUCCAUGUAUGGGGGCAUGUGCACGCUCUGUUUACACAUCCACUUACACCUGUGCACCCUCUGUAGUUCUGUGGCUUGUGGGGCUCCGCCCUCCUGCUGUGGUUCUACGUCUUUACACACACACUGUAAUAAAGUCUCAUGGAAUGUAUGUCGCGUUUAACGCAAUGAAAUACAACUUUCAGCAACGGAUCUCUUGGCUCUCGCAUCGAUGAAGAACGCAGCGAAAUGCGAUAAGUAAUGUGAAUUGCAGAAUUCAGUGAAUCAUCGAAUCUUUGAACGCACCUUGCACCCUUUGGCUAUUCCGAAGGGUAUGCCUGUUUGAGUAUCAUGAACACCUCAACUCUCAUGGCUUGCCAUGAUGAGCUUGGACUUUGGGGGUCUUGCUGGCCUGUGAGUCAGCUCCUCUCAAAUGAAUUAGCUUGCCAGCGUUUGGUGGCAUCACAGGUGUGAUAACUGUCUACGCUUGUGGUUUUCCACCAGGUAACCUUCAGCAAUGGAGGUUCGCUGGAGCUCAUAAAUGUCUCUCCUCGGUGAGGACAGAUUUUUGACCGUUUGAUCUCAAAUCAGGUAGGACUACCCGCUGAACUUAA
RNAcentral lists this ribosomal RNA (604 nucleotides) under uncultured Thelephoraceae. RNAcentral's name for it is "eukaryotic LSU rRNA". The stretch from base 188 to 342 matches the Rfam family "5.8S ribosomal RNA". Lineage: Eukaryota; Fungi; Basidiomycota; Agaricomycetes; Thelephorales; Thelephoraceae. The record is from RNAcentral.